GACCGAAUGGCGUAGUGGUUAGUGACCCUGACUGCUAUGCCGAAGGUCCCGGGUUCGAUUCCCGGCUGGGGCA
This 73-nucleotide transfer RNA is filed under the name Plutella xylostella (diamondback moth). RNAcentral's name for it is "tRNA-Ser". The record is from RNAcentral. Lineage: Eukaryota; Metazoa; Arthropoda; Insecta; Lepidoptera; Plutellidae.